AGUAGUUUGAUCAUGGCUCAGAAUGAACGCUGGCGGCAGGCCUAACACAUGCAAGUCGAACGGAUCCUUCGGGAUUAGUGGCGGACGGGUGAGUAACGCGUGGGAACAUACCCUUUGGUACGGAAUAGCCUCGGGAAACUGGGAGUAAUACCGUAUGUGCUCUUCGGAGGAAAGAUUUAUCGCCAAAGGAUUGGCCCGCGUUGGAUUAGGUAGUUGGUGGGGUAAUGGCCUACCAAGCCGACGAUCCAUAGCUGGUUUGAGAGGAUGAUCAGCCACACUGGGACUGAGACACGGCCCAGACUCCUACGGGAGGCAGCAGUGGGGAAUCUUAGACAAUGGGGGAAACCCUGAUCUAGCCAUGCCGCGUGAUCGAUGAAGGCCUUAGGGUUGUAAAGAUCUUUCAGUGGGGAAGAUAAUGACGGUACCCACAGAAGAAGCCCCGGCUAACUCCGUG
RNAcentral lists this ribosomal RNA (454 nucleotides) under uncultured bacterium. RNAcentral's name for it is "bacterial SSU rRNA". It matches the Rfam family "Bacterial small subunit ribosomal RNA", at positions 1 to 507 of the family's 1533-position model. The record is from RNAcentral.